RNAcentral lists this long non-coding RNA (1375 nucleotides) under Monodelphis domestica (gray short-tailed opossum). RNAcentral's name for it is "lncRNA (ENSMODG00000049177.1)". The record is from RNAcentral. Lineage: Eukaryota; Metazoa; Chordata; Mammalia; Didelphimorphia; Didelphidae.
GCAGCCUCGGGGCCAGCACUUUAGGUCCUCGGCACCAAGCUAUAUUUUGCUCAAUAAAGUACCUCUUGUGUGUUGCAUUACUCGUGUGUGUGUGUGUGUGUGUGUGUGUGUGUGUGUGUGUGUGUGUGUGUGUGUCCUCCAUGGAUUCUGAGCCAGAAUCGGACAUUAUACCUUCAACCCCAAAGGCAGGAGUCCUAGACACGGAACAGAAGAGCUGCCUUAACACUGCUGCUGCUGCUGCUGCUCUUUGUGCUACAGCUGACCGCUCUGUGGCAUCACAUUCUGAGGGAGAGCCAAGAACACAAGGUACAAGUGGAGCCCAAGAGUGACCAGGCUACCCUAUAGGUUCCAGCCAUCUCUCUAUCUAGGCAGGCACUGAUGCCAGCACACAGUCAGCCAGCCAGCCAGCCAGCCAGUCAGCCAGCGAGCAGCGUCUAGUGUAUUCUCUACCUGCUUCACUCCUUUCACAGACCUAGCCAGGACAUGGUGAGGACCAAGGAGAAUAGUGAACGUGCCGGUAAAAGGGACAGCUGUCUCAUCCCUGCAAGGACAAGGUCCACCCUAUGUUGCCAGGAACGACACUUCCCCCCUUUUGAGAUCCUUGGUCGCCACCACUCCAAAGGAGACACUUCCCUUACAAAGAACGCUCAAAAGGUGUGUAAGCCAGAGGACGCCCACCAAAGGCUUUUCCACGACAGACGUGUUGGUGAUCUGCCUGGCAGGAGAGCAGGAUGAACACACUUUAGAGACUCCGGUAGUUAUACCAGGGGCCAGCCAGACUCUCUUAACAGAGUCCAUGAUGCCCGGGGUACCAAAGUGGCCAUUAUGAUGAACAGAUUGGUAAAUUUGGUGAUGGAAACUUCUAGGGAGCAGGGGUUUUCCUUCAGAUGACACCCACACUCCAUGUAUUUGCUUUGCUUUGAAUUUUCCUCUCCAUUCCUCCACUUCCUUUUCAUUAUAGGAAAGUGAUCAAUUUAAGUCAUCAGUGGUUGUUAAUGUUCAAAGUAAUUCAGGCCCUCCUAUGGCUGCUAGCUUGGCAGCAGCAUCUGCUCAGUCAUGUCCCCUGGAGACAGGGUCAGAGCCAACUUUAUGGGCAGAGCAGUGAACUAGAGCGAGGGCUUCAGGCAGUUGGAGAGCAGAAAGAACUUCAUUAAUCAUUUCUGCAUCAGCUAUGGAAGGAGAAUACUGAGAGCACAGGGUGGAAGGCAGGUGUGUGACUGCUCUAAGGCAAAGUGGGCCACUCACGGCCAAGGUCCACUCAUAUUUACGCCUAAGACAUCAGGAUGUGUACGUGGCUUGGGGUCCAAGAGGAGACUUGCACAUAGCUAUAAAAGCUUAUUUCAAAACCAUUUAAAUAAAACCCUCCUCGGAUGCA